GCGUUUAUAUGUCUAUCGAUAUGCAAAGACAAAACAUAUGUUGUAAAAGCAUAUGGUGCGAAAAGUGAAGUGCAUUAAUUGCAAAAUUGCAACUGGAAACAGCUUACUACCAAGUACAAGAGAGUAUGUGCACUACAAGGCAGAGAUGUGUGUGAAAGCAAGCUAACUGCAAGUAUAUCAUCCAGUGGUACAAGAAGAAGUAGCUGAGAAGACUCCGCGUCCCAAACAUCGAGUAGUGCCGCUAGUUUAGUUAAGUGCGUUUGUGUUGAUAUUAGUCAGUGCACUGUAGUAUUUGUUUCUGUUUGUAUGCCUUGAC
Molecule: small RNA, 316 nt
Filed under: Drosophila mojavensis
Lineage: Eukaryota; Metazoa; Arthropoda; Insecta; Diptera; Drosophilidae
Description: GI26139
Source: RNAcentral